Long non-coding RNA from Peromyscus leucopus (white-footed mouse), 1749 nucleotides. RefSeq lists it as uncharacterized. NCBI's taxonomy places the organism in Eukaryota, Metazoa, Chordata, Mammalia, Rodentia, Cricetidae. The transcript is spliced from 3 exons. The record is from RefSeq and is a predicted model, not a curated record.
GAAGCCGAGCUGCUUUGCUCUGUUCAAUGAGAUAUUGAUGGAGCGCUGAACUCUGUGAUAAAUGUUAACUUUUUAAUGCGCACUGUGUCCCAGAGGCAGGGCCUAGGUGGGCUAUUGAGAGAAGCAGGCUCAGCGAGCCGCUGCUCAGAAUUCCAGGAGGUUAAUUGGCAAAUCAGCCUGGAAAUGGUGGGGACCAGCUGCACGUCUUCUCUACUCUGGCUUUUCUCACUAUCCAAGGCAUCUGGGCACCAUCUUCAUGCACAAAUAGCCCGUUUCUCAACUUCUCUGGGGUUUUGGUUGACGGGACCUUUUUUUUUUUUUUUAUUGUUAUUAUUAAUGGCAUCCUCUUUUCUGACAGGCUCCAGACAGCCCCGCUGGUUCAGGUCACCAAGGUGGACUGAGAAACAGGGAUCUUGAGCAGGCCCUUUGACCGACACGUCGGUGUGGCAAGGCUGGAAGGUCUUCCUGCCUCCAGUUGCACAAAGGAAUGGGUUACAGUGGAGAUGGAGAGUUCUGGAGAUUCACACUGAGAUACGGAAAGGACCUUAAGGAGGGCCCGGGAACACGAGGACAAACUUCUAAAGCAGCCUAUAGUGAAGAAUUGCAGAGCAGUGCCGUCAAAUGAAGGACUCAGCCCCAGUGUAGGAUAAUAUUGGGACACAGAAAAUUGCAGCAGAUUGCCUAAGGCAAACCGCAACCAGCCAGCAGCCGGAUGGAGCAGAGAAGAUGCCCGUUAUGUGGGGAAUGUGAGAAGGAUGUUUUCGGGUCUGUGCGCAGCUGUGACAAGCCAGGUAGAAACGGAGUUGGCCCCCUUUCCUGUGUGGGGACUGGAUGUCCCCAAAUUAUCUACAAGAUUUCGACUUGCCAUUGCCCGCUUAGGGAAAUCAUCCAGAGAGAAUUUGUGAGGGGUAAUUGGACAAUGUGCCCUUAGCUGACUGAGGCCGAGGUUCCCUGGGGUAAGGAGUGGGUGCCGGGACAAAGCCAGCAAACUGGGAGAAAUCUAAGUUUAGAAGUGUUUAGAAAUCCGAACUGUAAGUUCAUACAUGUAAAUCACAGAAUAGUGGCACCCCAAAACGGUGAAAACUGUCUUUCCCUUUUCUCUCCGUUCUAACUAGAGGCCGUCAUUUCACCCGACAGAUAAAAGCCAGAGGGCUUUGGGGGUAAGAAGAGCAGGCUCAGUGGAAUGAGACCUGCUGUGAACCGGCGGGUCCUCAGAACUCUUAUUUCUAUAGCAGCUGAUACUGACAUACAUGACUCUGUACAUAGCAGGGAUUCCAGAGAGUUCUCAGUAUCUGGUUCAAACUCGUUUUUGCAUCUAGAGGCAAAAGGAGGCAUCAAUUCCAGAGGGUCUUCUUGACAUUCCAGAAGCCCAUCUACGUUAGACAGAAAAUUCGAAAAAGAAAUCAACCCUUUCUGCUAACCCCCAAGACACUGUAAAUACUGUGGGGAAGGCCUGCAGCCACUCUGGAGAGCGAAAGUUCUAUACUCAGCCACAUCUGGAGUUAGGCAACGCUUUGCCCUUUUUCUGUCAAUGUGACUUCGGGAAAUUUCCUUAUACUCUUUUAUGCUUGAUUUUUCCCCCUUGUGCAAAUAGAAAGAAUGGUGGAAAGUACCAUUUAGGGUUGUUAUAGGAGUGAGAGGAUGUGUGGGAAUGGCUUAGUGUGUGAUACAUAUGUUAAAAUAGUAUGCGAUUUCCUUCCUUCCAUCCUCUCUUCCUUCCUCUCUUUCUUCCUUCCUUCCUGCCUUCCU